CCGCUUUCCUAAUCAAAAGAUAGGAGAGCACCCCUUCUCCCGAAGUUACGGGGUCAUUUUGCCGAGUUCCUUCGACAUGGUUCUCUCAAGCGCCCUAGUAUACUCUACUUGUUCACCUGUGUCGGUUUGGGGUACGGUCAGUUCACCGGGAGGAUCGCCCUCCCAAUUCGAAGUUUUUUCCUGGAAGUUUCAACCUUCUUGACUAUGACAAGAGUCGCGACUAUAAACAGACUCGCGACUAUGGCAGGGCGGUACGCUCUGCUCUCUCGCGACCCCUACUCUAAUCAAAAGACUAAAGGCCCCUACUGAAGGUCGCCAAACUACGACGAGACUUUCGCCUUUUGAAGCGCCAGUAGCGUAGGGCGACCGGGCCAGGCCGAGUCAGAAAGGCUUUGAUGACUCAAGGUUCAUAUUAGGGAAAGGAGAGUGAGGGGAAGAGGGCUACGCUGCCCUCGGCCCGAUCAUCCAAUUCGCUCCAAGAGAGAGGCAUGGUUUUGUAGUCAAAGCAACUUCGUCACUUUCGUGUACCCAUCGGACGGCAGCCCUUUCGGGGGUUCCUUAGGGACCGAUUCACUCUGCGU
This 581-nucleotide long non-coding RNA is filed under the name Arabidopsis thaliana (thale cress). Its description in RNAcentral is "long non-coding RNA (ATHA_LNC000532)". Lineage: Eukaryota; Viridiplantae; Streptophyta; Magnoliopsida; Brassicales; Brassicaceae. The record is from RNAcentral.